RNAcentral lists this ribosomal RNA (451 nucleotides) under uncultured bacterium. Its description in RNAcentral is "bacterial SSU rRNA". It matches the Rfam family "Bacterial small subunit ribosomal RNA", at positions 354 to 796 of the family's 1533-position model. The record is from RNAcentral.
GUGGGGAAUUUUGCGCAAUGGGGGAAACCCUGACGCAGCAACGCCGCGUGAGUGAUGAAGGCCUUCGGGUUGUAAAGCUCUUUUAGUGGGGAAGAAGCCCUCCCUGGCUAAUAUCCAGGGGGUCUGACGGUACCCACAGAAAAAGUUCCGGCUAACUACGUGCCAGCAGCCGCGGUAAUACGUAGGGAGCAAGCGUUGUUCGGAAUUAUUGGGCGUAAAGAGCGCGUAGGCGGUUCGGUAAGUCUGACGUGAAAUCCCGGAGCUUAACUCCGGAACUGCGUUGGAUACUGCCGGGCUUGAGUGUGGGAGAGGAGAGUGGAAUUCCCAGUGUAGAGGUGAAAUUCGUAGAUAUUGGGAGGAACACCCGUGGCGAAGGCGGCUCUCUGGACCACAACUGACGCUGAGGCGCGAAAGCUAGGGGAGCAAACGGGAUUAGAUACCCCUGUAGUCC